CUGGGCUCUAACAAUUUAAAGCUGACUUGGUGGGUUCCUCUCUGAACCUCAGUCUCCUCAUCUGUAAAAGCAGAGGCGUGUGCUGCCGUUCUUUAGGGCACUUUCCGACUCAAACCUCUGCUGUAUUUUAGUGACAUUCUUUCCCUGUCCUCCGUGGAUUCCUUCCCCAGCUCUACCGUCCUGUGGACGUCUUCACCCCAGACCCCAGCUGGCUCAGAGCAUGGAAGGUGCAUCAAGGAGCAAAAUACGGCCUCUGCUGUCAGGAAACUCACCUUCAAUGUGGGGACAGGGGACAGACAUGCAGACCAACGCUUCUAACAGUUCCUCCAGCUGGAGUUUGGAGAAUGGACUGGAAGGGGCAUGACGGGAGUGAGAGAAGCUGGGAGCAGGGCUGUCAGGGGAAUUGGAUGAGGUCACACAGGAAAAGUGCUUGGAACAGGGCCUAAUGCACAACAGCUUGUAUUCAGACGUGGGAAUGGUGACGACCUUUGGCCUCCUGGGACUCAGUUUCCCCACCUGUAAACCCGAAACCCCCACCGUGCCCGCGUCACAGGGUCAUCGGGGAUCAGAUGAUUUGACGCACAUUGUGCGCUGGAACAGAGACUGGCCGGCAUGGCUGUGCAGUUGGCGGGGCCAGUUGCAAAAUGAAAAGGCCAGGCCUCUUGUUCAAAAACAAUUACAGAUCCCAGACGGCAGCCGUGGGGCCGAAACCCAGCGCGGCCCUGCGCCGGCUUGACAGGUUGACACGGGAAGUUCCCGGCCGAGGGAACAGCUUGUACGAGGCUUACAGGGGUCUGGAACAGAUAAUCGGAACCAGGAUUGUCUCUGAGAACCCGCGGCCGCCGUGACCCCAGGACAUUUGCGGGAGGCCUCUGACACGGGGGCCCUGCCUUGCCCCCCAUUUGGGGCGGGGGCCCAGCUGGAACAAAUGGGUCCCUUUCCAGACCAGAGACCCGCACUGGCUUUUCCAGGGACACACAGCCCGUGGGGGCAGGGUCUGAGCGGGCGCCAGCGCUCUGGGCUCUUCUCCGGGGCCCCCUCUCAUCCGCGCGCCCCGCGGGUGACCACGAGUGGAAACAAUUCGAAGAAGUUAACAAAACCCCGAGCUGGCCAGUCCUCUGUGUCCCUCAUCCUUCAGAACGUAUCUAUCGGGGGCGAUUAGAGAGGAAUGGGUCCCUGUGAGCGUUUCAAAGUUUUGCACAACAUAUUUUAUGUGUGUUUAUAGAAAAAAAGCCCAGACCCAAAUUGAUUGAAAAAAUGUGUUGUUAUUGAAAGGGCUGAGCUGAACUCUCCGCCGAGCGUGGGGCUCGCAAGACUUGGAAGGCGACGAUUUCACAUAAAUAGUUGUGCCGAGUUGUUAUGGCAACUGAAAUUUGAAAAGUAAAUAGGUUCGGGGGAAAUAUUUUUCCUUGUCUCCGGAGGAGUUUUCUGUCCGGGAUCAUUUGCAAGUGGAGGAGGAAAUCCAGGACCCAGUGGGCUUGGUGUAUGCUGUCGAGGGACAGAAAUGGGGCGUCCCCGUGUCGGGGGUCUCCCCGUCCAUGGAGCGGGUUCUGUGCUUUCCCUGAAUAGGGGUUGAGACAGGAUGACGUGGGCUGGCUCUUGCCUGCUGUGUGGCUUUGGGCCAGUGCCCUGCCCUCUCUGGGCCUCUACUUUCCUAGAACAGUUUGCUUGACUCUAAUAAUAAUAAUAAUCAUGCAGUUUCAUAGCUAUUGUUUUGGAGAUGGCACCUCCUUGUGGAUUGGACCCUCACACCAGCCUGCUGAGGUCGCCAUGCUUCUCUCCAUUGGAGAGGUGGGGAAACUGAGGCCGGGGAGAGACUGGAGGCUUCCUGGCGAUCACACAGGAGGGAACGGCAACCUCUGAAACUUGCUUGGGUUCCUGGCAUGGAGCAUGUUUUGGUCGCCACAUUCCUGUGAGCUGUUGCUCAUGUGUGCUGGCGGCCGGUCCUUCUUGGGGACGCCCCGGGGAUCACCGGUCCCAGAGCACAGAGAGGGCGAGGCCCGAGGGGUGGG
Equus caballus (horse) is the source of this 2012-nucleotide long non-coding RNA. The record is from Ensembl. Lineage: Eukaryota; Metazoa; Chordata; Mammalia; Perissodactyla; Equidae.